Molecule: ribosomal RNA, 600 nt
Filed under: bacterium enrichment culture clone F61x_D24_T3_H03
Lineage: Bacteria
Description: bacterial SSU rRNA
Rfam family: Bacterial small subunit ribosomal RNA
Source: RNAcentral
AGUUUUGNUCCUGGCUCAGAUUGAACGCUGGCGGCAUGCCUUACACAUGCAAGUCGAACGGCAGCGCGGGGCAACCUGGCGGCGAGUGGCGAACGGGUGAGUAAUAUAUCGGAACGUACCCUGGAGUGGGGGAUAACGUAGCGAAAGUUACGCUAAUACCGCAUACGAUCUAAGGAUGAAAGUGGGGGAUUCGCAAGAACCUCAUGCUCCUGGAGCGGCCGAUAUCUGAUUAGCUAGUUGGUGGGGUAAAGGCCUACCAAGGCAUCGAUCAGUAGCUGGUCUGAGAGGACGACCAGCCACACUGGGACUGAGACACGGCCCAGACUCCUACGGGAGGCAGCAGUGGGGAAUUUUGGACAAUGGGCGCAAGCCUGAUCCAGCAAUGCCGCGUGAGUGAAGAAGGCCUUCGGGUUGUAAAGCUCUUUUGUCAGGGAAGAAACGGGCCGGGUUAAUACCCUGGUCUAAUGACGGUACCUGAAGAAUAAGCACCGGCUAACUACGUGCCAGCAGCCGCGGUAAUACGUAGGGUGCAAGCGUUAAUCGGAAUUACUGGGCGUAAAGCGUGCGCAGGCGGUUGUGCAAGACCGAUGUGAAAUCCCU